Molecule: ribosomal RNA, 253 nt
Filed under: uncultured bacterium
Lineage: Bacteria
Description: partial 16S ribosomal RNA
Rfam family: Bacterial small subunit ribosomal RNA
Source: RNAcentral
UACGAAGGGGGCUAGCGUUGUUCGGAUUUACUGGGCGUAAAGCGCACGUAGGCGGAUCGUUAAGUCGGGGGUGAAAUCCUGGAGCUCAACUCCAGAACUGCCUUCGAUACUGAGGAUCUUGAGUACGGGAGAGGUGAGUGGAACUGCGAGUGUAGAGGUGAAAUUCGUAGAUAUUCGGAAGAACACCAGUGGCGAAGGCGACUCACUGGACACGUAUUGACGCUGAGGUGCGAAAGCGUGGGGAGCAAACAGG